AUUGAACGCUGGCGGCAGGCUUAACACAUGCAAGUCGAGCGGGGGAAGGUAGCUUGCUACCGGACCUAGCGGCGGACGGGUGAGUAAUGCUUAGGAAUCUGCCUAUUAGUGGGGGACAACAUCUCGAAAGGGAUGCUAAUACCGCAUACGUCCUACGGGAGAAAGCAGGGGAUCUUCGGACCUUGCGCUAAUAGGUGAGCCUAAGUCGGAUUAGCUAGUUGGUGGGGUAAAGGCCUACCAAGGCGACGAUCUGUAGCGGGUCUGAGAGGACGAUCCGCCACACUGGGACUGAGACACGGCCCAGACUCCUACGGGAGGCAGCAGUGGGGAAUAUUGGACAAUGGGGGGAACCCUGAUCCAGCCAUGCCGCGUGUGUGAAGAAGGCCUUAUGGUUGUAAAGCACUUUAAGCGAGGAGGAGGCUACUCUAGUUAAUACCUAGGGAUAGUGGACGUUACUCGCAGAAUAAGCACCGGCUAACUCUGUGCCAGCAGCCGCCGCAG
Molecule: ribosomal RNA, 501 nt
Filed under: uncultured bacterium
Lineage: Bacteria
Description: partial 16S ribosomal RNA
Rfam family: Bacterial small subunit ribosomal RNA
Source: RNAcentral